This 74-nucleotide transfer RNA is filed under the name Phytophthora infestans T30-4. RNAcentral's name for it is "tRNA-Glu for anticodon CUC". Lineage: Eukaryota; Oomycota; Peronosporomycetes; Peronosporales; Peronosporaceae. The record is from RNAcentral.
UCCCAAAUAGUCUAGGCGGGUUAGGAUACGUUGGUUUCACCCACGCGACCCGGGUUCGGGUCCCGGUUUGGGAA